GUGAUUAAAUCGAGCGUGUCUUCAUUGACCUCUCACCCUUCUCACCAUCCACAUACACCUGUGCACUGUUUAGCCUGAGGCCGGUUUUCCGGUCCAGGUUAUCAUUUCAUACAAACUCUAGUCUUAUGAAUGUAAACGUUUUAAUAACAUAAUA
Molecule: unclassified non-coding RNA, 154 nt
Filed under: soil metagenome
Description: partial internal transcribed spacer 1
Source: RNAcentral